Molecule: long non-coding RNA, 2110 nt
Organism: Ahaetulla prasina
Lineage: Eukaryota; Metazoa; Chordata; Lepidosauria; Squamata; Colubridae
Exons: 2
Source: RefSeq, a predicted model, not a curated record
AUAAUUUGUAGAGCAAUUUACCUUUCCUCUAUGUAUACACAAACAGAAUUCGCCAAAUAAAUCUCAACAGCACUCGAGAGAACACAAUUGCAGCAAGACCCAAUUAAGCUGGGAAUUAUGCUUCCAGUCUAAAACCCCUCUAUUCAGAAAUUAAGCCUAGAAAGAACUGUAAUGUUAUAUAUUUGUAAAAUUUUACUUAGGAAAAGCUGAUGUAAUUUUGUUUGAAAAUUAUAGGCUUAUUACUUGCAUUCUUUUAUUUAAUAAAAAAAAAUCUCUUUGGGAAUGCAGAAACAGUCUAUUUCUAAGUAUCAGUUUACAUACCCUGCUGUGUGGCUACCAACUCAAAUAUGUUCUGAAGCAGGGGAACUGAGUUUCAGAUGGUGCAAUUUUACUGGGGCAGAUACAUCUUCAAAAGUAAGUGAUCAACCACUGCCUGUUUCUCCAGCUUUGGAAGUACUAGCUACAUCCUGACUCUAUCCCAAGACUGCUCCCAGAUUCAUUGUCAAGGGGUCGUCUUGAAUUUUAACAACCAUUUUUUGCCUUCCGUCACUUUUCAGAUAUUGUGGUUUGUUCAUCAUCACCUGAGAAUUGUCUGGAGAACAAGACAGUUCACACCCUAAUCUGAGCCUGAGCUUGCCUUAAGAGUAAUUACAAAAUCCAAAUUAGGACAACACAGCCAAGUUUGGAUUUAAUUUAAUAAGUAAUGCUGUUUAUAAGAAUCCACUGGAAAACAAUGUUUGCUAUUAUAAUUUAUAGUCGUUCUCUAAUUGUGGGUGUGUUUGCAUAUGUCAAAAACAUUACCAGAAAAGUGGUUUUUAAAAAAUACAACAUUAAUUUAAAGAUUUCCGAACUUAAAUUGUUGAACCAUUUCUAGGACCAUAAAAAUGAUACAAAUUCCAUUUGUUUGGCUCUGUAGUGAUGCUGACAGCUAUUCAUGCCAGUGAAACCUAGAAGGCAUCAGCAAGUAUUAACAAGAGUCUUUGACACCUUCUAACAAAGAUGCCUUUGUUGAAUCCUAAAGAUUCAAUAUUUUGACCAUGAAGAAGUGCUCCAAAAGGAUUUUUCCUGCGAAUUACAUAACAUAACAGCUCCCAAGAGACUCCGACUUAUAGGUCAUAUACUCCAUAUGAAGAAUGACUGAAUUCCCAAGAUGGCAAUGAGAUGGAUCCCCGUGAUGCCAAAGGAACAAGAGGACACCCUUGAAAUACAGGGCGAAGAAUAUUCAUAGACGACUUAAAAGAUUUUAAACAUCACAUGGGACGAUGCUGAUGUACUCACCCAUAUCUGACAUUACUGGAGAUCCCUUGCUGCCCAAUAUGCUACACAGGCAUGGGAGGAUCUAAUGAGACUCAACCAGUGCGCACAGAAAACAAAGCAGAUUUUAUUAUACUUGAGAAAUCAACACUAUGACAAUUGAAAGACACUGUGGUCUUCCUCUUCCUGAUAACCUUUUCUUUUUAAUUUUUUUGUUUCAUUACUGAGUAUCUAAAUAAUCUAGCUUUCCCAUAACUGGAAAAGUAACUGCAGCUAAGGGAAACAAUGACAAUUUUCAGAUUAGAUGUAUCCACUGAUUUUGAUAGCCAAGUAAGGAUCUGAAGCACUGUUUCCGUAUCCAAGACAAACACAAGGAGAGAGGAAUUUUAGGAGCUGGGGAAUAGAACAGAAAAUAAUAGAGUUUGAAGGGACCUUGGAGGUCUUCUAGUCCAACCUCCUGCUCAAGCAGGAGACCCUAUACCAUUCCAGAGAAGGGGCCGUCCAGUUUCUUCUUAAAAAUCUCCAGCGAUGGAGUAGCCACAACUUCUGAAAGCAACCCGCUCCACUGGUUAAUUAUUUUUACUGUCAGGAAAUUUCUCCCUAGUUCUGGGUUGCUUCUUUCCUUGAUUAAUUUCCAACCAUUGCUUGGCCACUCCAGCCUCCAGAUCAUCUUUACUGCUCUUUUCUGCACUCUUUCCAGAGCCUCAACAGCUUUUUAAUAAUAUGGCAAUCAAACCUGGAUGCAGUAUUCCAAUUGUGGUCUUACUAAGGCUUUAUAAAGCAGUACUAAUAUUUCUUGAUGAUCUUGAUUCUAUCCCUGUUAAUGCAACCUAGCAUCACAAGCAGAAAUGGGGGG